CCUACGGGUGGCAGCAGUGGGGAAUAUUGCACAAUGGGGGAAACCCUGAUGCAGCGACGCCGCGUGAGUGAAGAAGUAUUUCGGUAUGUAAAGCUCUAUCAGCAGGGAAGAAGAAGACGGUAACUGAUUAAGAAGGCCCGGCCAAAUACGUGCCAGCAGCCGCGGGAAUACGUAGGGGGCAAGCGUUAUCCGGAUUUACUGGGGGUAAAGGGAGCGUAGACGGUUGCACAAGUCUGGAGUGAAAGGCCGGGGCUUAACCGCGGAACGGCUUUGGAAACUGGGUAGCUAGAGUGCAGGAGAGGCAAGUGGAAUUCCUAGUGUAGCGGUGAAAUGCGUAGAUAUUAGGAGGAACACCAGUGGCGAAGGCGGCUUACUGGACUGUAACUGACGUUGAGGCUCGAAAGCGUGGGGAGCAAACAGGAUUAGAUACCCCUGUAGUC
Molecule: ribosomal RNA, 440 nt
Filed under: uncultured bacterium
Lineage: Bacteria
Description: partial 16S ribosomal RNA
Rfam family: Bacterial small subunit ribosomal RNA
Source: RNAcentral